This 329-nucleotide ribosomal RNA is filed under the name uncultured eukaryote. RNAcentral describes it as "partial 18S ribosomal RNA". It matches the Rfam family "Eukaryotic small subunit ribosomal RNA", at positions 1470 to 1795 of the family's 1831-position model. The record is from RNAcentral.
CCCUUAGAUGUUCUGGGCCGCACGCGCGCCACACUGACGAAUGCAACGAGCUUAUAAUAACCUUGGCCGAAAGGUCUGGGUAAUCUCCAAAUUUCGUCGUGAUGGGGAUAGAUUAUUGCAAUUAUUAAUCUUCAACGAGGAAUGCCUAGUAAGCGCAAGUCAUCAGCUUGCGUUGAUUACGUCCCUGCCCUUUGUACACACCGCCCGUCGCUCCUACCGAUUGAAUGGUCCGGUGAAGCGUUCGGACCGUGGCCUUUGGACGGUUCGCCGUCUGUUGGCUGCGGGAAGUUCGUUAAACCUUAUCAUUUAGAGGAAGGAGAAGUCGUAAC